Molecule: non-coding RNA, 156 nt
Organism: Capsicum annuum
Lineage: Eukaryota; Viridiplantae; Streptophyta; Magnoliopsida; Solanales; Solanaceae
Source: Rfam
GACACUCGACAAUGUGUAUCUCGGCUCUCACAUCGAUGAAGAACAUAGCGAAAUACGAUACUUUGUGUGAAUUGCAGAAUCUCGUAAACCAUUGAGUCUUUGAACACAAGUUGCGCCCAAAGCCAUUAGGCUAAGGGCACGUCUGCCAAGGUGCCA